This 253-nucleotide ribosomal RNA is filed under the name uncultured bacterium. RNAcentral's name for it is "partial 16S ribosomal RNA". It matches the Rfam family "Bacterial small subunit ribosomal RNA", at positions 524 to 776 of the family's 1533-position model. The record is from RNAcentral.
UACGUCGGCAGCAAGCGUUGUUCGGAGUUACUGGGCGUAAAGGGUGCGUAGGCGGUCCUAUAAGUAUGGUGUGAAAUCUCCCGGCUUAACUGGGAGGGUGCGCUAUAGACUGUGGGACUAGAGUGUGGGAGAGGAAAGUGGAAUUCCUGGUGUAGCGGUGAAAUGCGUAGAUAUCAGGAGGAACACCGGUGGUGUAAACGGCUUUCCGGACCAUAACCGACGCUGAGGCACGAAAGCGUGGGUAGCAAACAGG